CAACAGCACCGUUCAAACCGACAAGUAACUAAGCAUUAGUUGAUGAUCAACAGAUAAGCAACUUUAGAGUUUAGUUGACUAUCUGUUGAUCGUCAACUAAUCUAGAGUUGACUAUUAGUAUACUUUCAGUAGGUUCUCCACUAAGCGUUUGUAGGCAUGUGUUAGGACUAUCCAAUUGAAGUGAAAAACAGUUGAGAACAGUAGAAAGUCUAUAACCUAUCAA
Notothenia coriiceps (black rockcod) is the source of this 223-nucleotide long non-coding RNA. RefSeq lists it as uncharacterized. Lineage: Eukaryota; Metazoa; Chordata; Actinopteri; Perciformes; Nototheniidae. The record is from RefSeq and is a predicted model, not a curated record. The transcript has 3 exons.